This 89-nucleotide transfer RNA is filed under the name Erysipelothrix inopinata. RNAcentral's name for it is "tRNA-Ser(tga)". It matches the Rfam family "tRNA". Rfam says of the family: Transfer RNA (tRNA) molecules are approximately 80 nucleotides in length. Their secondary structure includes four short double-helical elements and three loops (D, anti-codon, and T loops). Further hydrogen bonds mediate the characteristic L-shaped molecular structure. tRNAs have two regions of fundamental functional importance: the anti-codon, which is responsible for specific mRNA codon recognition, and the 3' end, to which the tRNAs corresponding amino acid is attached (by aminoacyl-tRNA synthetases). tRNAs cope with the degeneracy of the genetic code in two manners: having more than one tRNA (with a specific anti-codon) for a particular amino acid; and 'wobble' base-pairing, i.e. permitting non-standard base-pairing at the 3rd anti-codon position. Lineage: Bacteria; Bacillati; Bacillota; Erysipelotrichia; Erysipelotrichales; Erysipelotrichaceae. The record is from RNAcentral.
GGAGGAGUACCCAAGUGGCUGAAGGGACUGGUCUUGAAAACCAGCAGACGUUAGCGCGUGCGGGAGUUCGAAUCUCCCCUCCUCCGCCA